GAGAUUUUAGCUUAAUGAAAGCAUCUGGGUUGCAUUCAGAAGAUGUGAGGUAGAGUCUCGCAAAUUUUA
RNAcentral lists this transfer RNA (69 nucleotides) under Carcharias taurus (sand tiger shark). RNAcentral describes it as "tRNA-Ala". It matches the Rfam family "tRNA". Rfam says of the family: Transfer RNA (tRNA) molecules are approximately 80 nucleotides in length. Their secondary structure includes four short double-helical elements and three loops (D, anti-codon, and T loops). Lineage: Eukaryota; Metazoa; Chordata; Chondrichthyes; Lamniformes; Carchariidae. The record is from RNAcentral.